UGGGGAAUAUUGCACAAUGGGCGAAAGCCUGAUGCAGCAACGCCGCGUGAGUGAUGAAGGUCUUCGGAUUGUAAAGCUCUGUCUUUUGGGACGAUAAUGACGGUACCAAAGGAGGAAGCCACGGCUAACUACGUGCCAGCAGCCGCGGUAAUACGUAGGUGGCGAGCGUUGUCCGGAUUUACUGGGCGUAAAGGGUGCGUAGGCGGAUGUUUAAGUGAGAUGUGAAAUACCCGGGCUUAACUUGGGUGCUGCAUUUCAAACUGGAUAUCUAGAGUGCAGGAGAGGAGAAUGGAACUCCUAGUGUAGCGGUGAAAUGCGUAGAGAUUAGGAAGAACACCAGUGGCGAAGGCGAUUCUCUGGACUGUAACUGACGCUGAGGCACGAAAGCGUGGGUAGCAAACAGGAUUAGAUACCCUGGUAGUCCACGCCGUAAACGAUGAGUACUAGGUGUAGGAGGUAUCGACCCCUUCUGUGCCGCAGUAAACACAUUAAGUACUCCGCCUGGGAAGUACGAUCGCAAGAUUAAAAC
This 529-nucleotide ribosomal RNA is filed under the name uncultured bacterium. RNAcentral's name for it is "partial 16S ribosomal RNA". It matches the Rfam family "Bacterial small subunit ribosomal RNA", at positions 355 to 900 of the family's 1533-position model. The record is from RNAcentral.